GUGCCUAAUACAUGCAAGUCGAACGAGAGCGACCGGUGCUUGCACUGGUCAAUCUAGUGGCGAACGGGUGAGUAACACGUGGGUAACCUGCCCAUCAGAGGGGGAUAACAUUCGGAAACGGAUGCUAAAACCGCAUAGGUCUUCGAACCGCAUGGUUUGAAGAGGAAAAGAGGCGCAAGCUUCUGCUGAUGGAUGGACCCGCGGUGCAUUAGCUAGUUGGUGAGGUAACGGCUCACCAAGGCCGUGAUGCAUAGCCGACCUGAGAGGGUGAUCGGCCACAUUGGGACUGAGACACGGCCCAAACUCCUACGGGAGGCAGCAGUAGGGAAUCUUCCGCAAUGGACGCAAGUCUGACGGAGCAACGCCGCGUGAGUGAAGAAGGUUUUCGGAUCGUAAAACUCUGUUGUUAGAGAAGAACAAGUGCUAGAGUAACUGUUAGCGCCUUGACGGUAUCUAACCAGAAAGCCACGGCUAACUACGUGCCAGCAGCCGCGGUAAUACGUAGGUGGCAAGCGUUGUCCGGAUUUAUUGGGCGUAAAGCGAGCGCAGGCGGUUCCUUAAGUCUGAUGUGAAAGCCCCCGGCUCAACCGGGGAGGGUCAUUGGAAACUGGGGAACUUGAGUGCAGAAGAGGAGAGUGGAAUUCCAUGUGUAGCGGUGAAAUGCGUAGAUAUAUGGAGGAACACCAGUGGCGAAGGCGACUCUCUGGUCUGUAACUGACGCUGAGGCUCGAAA
This 733-nucleotide ribosomal RNA is filed under the name uncultured Bacilli bacterium. Its description in RNAcentral is "bacterial SSU rRNA". It matches the Rfam family "Bacterial small subunit ribosomal RNA", at positions 44 to 758 of the family's 1533-position model. Lineage: Bacteria; Bacillati; Bacillota; Bacilli. The record is from RNAcentral.